AUCCGCCGGAAGUGCGUCCGUCCGGGCGAGGAAGGAAAUAGGGCGCGGGGCGCCGCCGUGGAAGAACUCCAUUCAGAGGCAGUCGUGAUAAACCAGAGCAUCAGCCCUUUCCGCUGGGAUACCAAUAAGUCUUGAACUUCAAAACUGCUGACCUAAAAAGGAUACUUGAGAAGGAGCAAGUCUUUCCUUUUUUCUUUUAAAGAAAGCAACACCAGAAGCAGUCGAACUUCCUUGUUCACUUAGGUGCAUGCAAAAAAGAAAACAGGUUUACUCUGCUUCAGGACCCUCUCUUACCCCUCAUGGCGUGAGCCUGAAGCCUGUCCACUGAGGAGCGUUCUAAGAACUUCCAGAUCAUUCCAUGGAACUACAGCAGAAAGGACCCGAGGUGAGAAGAGCUAAGACCUGACCUUCGGGCACAUGCUGAGAAACUCGCCCACAGGUGUUUGGAGGAACCCAAAGACAAACAGCAGCCAGUGUGCUGGACGUCGGCCACAAGGAAACAUGGUAUUUGGAACCGUCCCAGAGUCGUUCUUUUUACUGCAGAUGGAAAGAGGCAGGCAGAGUCUUACGCCGUGGCAGAAACGUCCCACGGAGCCAAGCUCCUUACCCGCCACCCAAGCGAGCACUUUCUAUCUGAGUCAGGUGAUCCGGAUGCUACUCAUCUGGAGACCACGCUGGUCCUGAGCCCACACCAGUGGGCCUCCAGCCGCAAAGGGAAGAAGGCAGGCGGGGUGUCGAUCUGAGAAGAAAACCCACCAGGAGAAGGGAGUUAAAGCUGUUCCUAGACCGCACAGCGUGGUCACAGCCUAGCAGACCUCGGGGUCCUCGCCUCUGAAGGGAAAGAGGCCUGUAAGCUUCCGUCCAGCGCCUUCCAUGAUCCCGCGGACGCCAGGCUGCAGGAUCUAAUGCCACGUGCUUUGGUGACCACGAGAACUCGUUACAGGUGACGCCGUUUUUCUCGCUAUUGACUGUUGGUGAGCGAGGUUCUCGGGUGUCGGGAUGAGCUGUGGGUGGCGCCUAAUGUAGAGUUUUCUAAUUGUUUUUCCCGUUGGAUGUAACACUGUGGGGGGAGAGACCUCUGACUUUUCCACCUAGUUUCUCUCCAGAUGAAAGGAGAUGUUCACUCCUCCCCAAAGUAGGGAGACCCUGUUUGAUUUGUGUCAAGCCAAACAUCUAGGAGACGGUUUUAAAUAUUGCGGGAGAAUGCGCCUACUUAAUCAAAGCCCCGUUUAUGCUCAUUUUGCCUAUGAAAUCGCUUCACUCUUUCGCCUAGCGAAGACUUUUCUCUUUUCAAGAGCACGUGUGUUGAAACCAAAAAACCCAGUUGUCCUCCUGGUCAUCGGAGGCCCUGGUGUGUGAGUUGUAUGUGCUCCGAAUGUUUCCGUGUCUCCUUGAGGUGUGGAUGUUUGUGUCCUGAAUGUUGACAAUGAUGCAGAUGAUAGAUGGGCAGGGCUGGAAGGGGUGGAAGAUUCCCAUCUGCUCCUUGGUUCCCUUUUUGUCUUCAUUCAGUUCUUCAAAAAACAUUUCUUAAAUGCUUACUCCAUAGCUGGUUAAAAAUAGAUUCCCUCGCUGCAGUUAGAAACUACCACUUCCAGGAAUCUGAUGACAUCUUUCUUUCUUUCUUUUCUUUUCUUUUCUUUUUUUUUUUUUGGCGGAACCAGCAGCAUGCAGAAAUUCCCUGGCCAAGGAUUGAACCUGAGCAGCCGUGACAACGCCAGAUCCUUACCCACUAGGCCACCGAGGAAAUCCUUAAGACAUCUUUUGAACAAUCAUUUUGCUUUCUCUUCGGGGUAUCUCUGAUCCAGAAACUUAAGCUGCUCUUCAAUUACUGACUCAUUUGUGGCUAGAAAGGCAAUCCAUUCAUAAGUCAUGGGGCAGGUGGCAGCUGGGAAAUUUGUGUCCCAAUUCUGACAAGUCAAAGACUUUCAGGUUUCUUCAGGGGAGACUUUCACUGGGAGCUUUUAGAAGCCUGGGCCUGUCUCUAUGCCGACCUGUUUCAUUCAUUCGAUAAAUUUCACUAAGCGCCUACAGGGUCUGAAAACAUGUUUGUUGUCCUGUGUGGGCUCCCUGUAAACUAGACCUAGGGGGUGUGUCUGUGGGUGUGGGUGUGUGUGAGGCGCUAUAAUCCAGGGUGCUGAGUUUUUCCAAAGACCGAAAAGUCCCUGUGGACAUGGACAGAAUUGGUCAUUGCAUGACUAUACCCCCAAUUGUCUAGAACAUCUGGAGUGAUUGGUAAAUAUUUGCUGACUGGGUGCAGUAAUAGAAAAAUAAACCAGGAGCUGUAGAAACACCGAGGAUAUGCUGAUUAACCCUGCCUGCGGGUGCAGGAAGGAUCCUGAUCACCAGGAGAAGAAUCGAGAAAGGCCCUUCCCCCAUCUUCCUAGGAGGUCCAGAGCAGCCCGAAUUAUAGACUUAAAUGUUCUAUGUGUUUUCCAUAUCUGUGAGCCCUGCGUUUUGCUAGAUACAUUUUUUGUAUUAUUUUUUAGAUGCCACAUGUAAGUGAUAUCAUACAGUAUUUGUCUUCCUCUGACUUUUUUCACUAAAUGUAAUGUUCUCUAGGUCUAUCCACAUUGCUCCAAAUGGCAGGAUUUCAUUCUUUUCAUGGCUGAGUAAUAUUCCGUCGUAUAGAUACACCGUAUCUUCUUUCUUCCUUUGUCUGUUGACAGACACUUGGGUUGCUUUUUAGCUUGGCUUUUGUACGUAACGCUGCUGGAGUUCUGGGGUGCAUGCUCCUUUUCAAACGACUAUUUUUGUUUUCUUUGGCUAUAUACCCAGGAAUGGAAUUGUCAGAGCACCUGGUAGUUCUAUUUUUAGUGUUUUGGGGGACCUCCAAUUUUUAGUUUUUCACAGCGGCUGUACCAAUUUACAUUUCCGCAUUGUACAAGGGUUCCCUUUUCCCCACAUCCUCACCAACAUUUGUCAUUUGUGUUCUUUUUGAUGAUGGCCAUUCUGACAAGAGCGAGGUGAUAUCUCAUUGUGGUUUUGACUUGCAUUUCCCUGAUGAUUCUUCUGGUAACUUGGAACAUUUGCAUAUAGCAUCCUGUUAUAAUGCAGAAGAAAACCCUCAUUUGCAGAUAUAUGGUGUUAAGCAUCUUUUCAUGUGCCUGUGGGCCAUCUGCAUGUCUUCCUUGGAAAAAUAUAUAUAAAGAUCUUCUGCCCAUUUUUUAA
Molecule: long non-coding RNA, 3168 nt
Filed under: Sus scrofa (pig)
Lineage: Eukaryota; Metazoa; Chordata; Mammalia; Artiodactyla; Suidae
Description: lncRNA (ENSSSCG00030017167.1)
Source: RNAcentral